This 385-nucleotide ribosomal RNA is filed under the name uncultured bacterium. RNAcentral describes it as "bacterial SSU rRNA". It matches the Rfam family "Bacterial small subunit ribosomal RNA", at positions 1009 to 1392 of the family's 1533-position model. The record is from RNAcentral.
UGUCCUUUUCUCUCGGAGCAGCGGAGACAGGUGGUGCAUGGUUGUCGUCAGCUCGUGUCGUGAGAUGUUGGGUUAAGUCCCGCAACGAGCGCAACCCCUAUCCUUAGUAGCCAGCGUUUAAGGCGGGCACUCUGGGGAGAAUGCCAGGGAUAACCCGGAGGAAGGGGGGGAUGACGUCAAAUCAUCCUGCCCCUUAUGAUUUGGGCUACCCCCGUGCUACAAUGGCGUAAACAAAGGGAAGCGAAAGUGUGAAGUUAAGCAAAUCCCAAAAAUAACGUCUCAUUUCGGAUUGUAGUCUGCAACUCGACUACUUGAAGCUGGAAUCCCUAGUAAUCGCGGAAAGAAUGCCGCGGGUGAAUACGUUUCCCGGGUCUUGUACACACCG